Molecule: long non-coding RNA, 1259 nt
Organism: Bos taurus (domestic cattle)
Lineage: Eukaryota; Metazoa; Chordata; Mammalia; Artiodactyla; Bovidae
Source: Ensembl
GAGGGAGAGCAGGCAUAGCUCUGCCCUUGCCAGCUUUUGUGUCUCUGCUCCACCCAUCUUUCCUACCCAGAAUGCACUCUGCUUCUGAAGGAGGCAGUUGGAGAGAGUGGAAACCAUCCUCCUCUCCUCCGCCUUUUCCUCCUUUUCCUUUUCUUUACAUCAUCAAGGCUAACACCCAUAGAGCAUUUCUGUGCCAGUUGCUAUUCCCAGCACUUUACUUGCAAAAGCUCAUUUAAUUAUCCCAACAACUCUUUGAAGAGAUAGUGUUAUUAUCCCCACUAUAAGAAAGGAAACUUAAGAAAAAGAUGUCGAGUGAUUUACACCAAUUAUGCCAUAAGGCACAGAGAAUUCCAGCCCAGUCUUCUCCAGGAACCAUUCUCUGCACUGAAUUGCCUGUUUCGGAAAGCACGCAGUGCUGAAAUUGCAAAGCCAGUGAAGAAACCAAGACACAGAAAAAUUAUUCCAUCUAAGAGCCCACAAAUAGUAAAUAAGGAAGAAAGUAUUUGAACUCAACUAAAGAUGCUUACUCCUUGGAAGGAAAGUUAUGACCAACCUAGAUAGCAUAUUCAAAAGCGGAGACAUUACUUUGCCAACAAAGGUUCAUCUAGUCAAGGCUAUGGUUUUUCCUCUGGUCAUGUAUGGAUGAGAGAGUUGGACUGUGAAGAAGGCUGAGCGCCGAAGAAUUGAUGCUUUUGAACUGUGGUGUUGGAGGAGACUCUUGAGAGUCCCAUGGAUUGCAAGGAGAUCCAACCAGUCCAUUCUAAAGGAGAUCAGUCCUGGGUGUUCUUUGGAAGGAAUGAUGCUAAAGCUGAAACUCCAAUACUUUGGCCACCUCAUGCAAAGAGUUGACUCAUUGGAAAAGACUCUAAUGCUGGGAGGGAUUGGGGGCAGCAGGAGAAGGGGAUGACAGAGGAUGAGAUGGUUGGAUGGCAUCACCAACUGGAUGGACGUGAGUCUGAGUGAACUCCGGGAGUUGGUGAUGGACAGGGAGGCCUGGCGUGCUGCGAUUCAUGGGGUCACAAAGAGUCGGACACAACUGAGCGACUGAACUGACUGAACUGAAUGUGGAUUCAAAACUUAUGCCUUAAGCAUUCUGCUAGGAUGCCUCAAAGAAAACUUACCUUAAGGACCUUUAUUUCUGAUGCCUAACUUUGGGGGGAAAAUGGUAUACCAUAUAUUCAGACAUAUACAAUACUUUCUCUUGGGUUUUCCCAUUGUCCUUUCUCUUAACUGCUAUUGGAGAGCCUUUAUCAGUAGGG